UACGUAGGGUGCGAGCGUUAAUCGGAAUUACUGGGCGUAAAGACGUGCGCAGGCGGUUUUGUAAGCCAGAUGUGAAAUCCCCGGGCUUAACCUGGGAAUGGCAUUUGGGACUGCAAGGCUGGAGUGCGGCAGAGGAGACUGGAAUUCCUGGUGUAGCAGUGAAAUGCGUAGAUAUCAGGAGGAAUACCGAUGGCGAAGGCAGGUCUCUGGGCUGACACUGACGCUCAUGCACAGAA
Molecule: ribosomal RNA, 236 nt
Filed under: uncultured bacterium
Lineage: Bacteria
Description: partial 16S ribosomal RNA
Rfam family: Bacterial small subunit ribosomal RNA
Source: RNAcentral